GCCCAGCACCGAAUCCUUCACCAUCUCGGUGACAGGAAAUGUGGUGUUUAGGCCGUACCUUGUCCCGACACGUCUCUCCUCAAGUCCACUUGAUUGUGGCCCCAGGCCCAGAGAGGGUGUAAGGCCCGUGGAGGCGAGACGUUCGGUACCUGGUGCGUCCUUAGAGUCGGGUUGUUUGGGAAUGCAGCCCUAAGCGGGUGGUAAACUCCAUCCAAGGCUAAAUACCAGCACGAGUCCGAUAGCGAAGAAGUACCGCGAGGGAAGGUUGAAAAGAACUUUGAAGAGAGAGUUCAAGAGUACGUGAAACCGCUGAGAGGCAAACUGGUGGAACUGAAAUGGUCCCGAGGAAUUCAGCCGUUGGUCGUUGCACAGUCUUUGGUGAUUGAUCUAACGACGGCGCCAUUGAAUGACGUUUCGAUCAUCGGUGCACUUUCCUCGCCUGGGCCCGACCACGACCGGUGAGCUGAUCUGUCUGUCGUGCUUGGAAGAUAGCGCCGUCUUCGGAAGGCGUGUUAUAGACARGCAUACGGAGCAGUCGGCGCACUGGAUGAUAGUGCCUGCCCAUCUGGGCUCAUAUGGUGGUUGUUUUGUUGGCGAGUUCUGAUGUCACUACUUCGGUAGAGUCGUUAGACUCUGUUGGCAUUAUGGCUGUCCUCUAUGAUUGGCACUGUUAAGUCUGUGGUUGUGAAGUAGGUAGUCCACCUGACCCGUCUUGAAACACGGACCAAGGAGUCUAACAUGUGCGCGAGUCAUUGGGUUCACGAAACCUAAAGGCGCAGUGAAGGUAAAGAUCUGUUUUGGCAGAUUGAGGUGGGAUGCCGGGUUACGCGCCCGGCCGCACUACCGGCCCGUUCUAUAUGUCUUUCAUAGGAGCGGAGCAAGAGCGUACACGUUGGGACCCGAAAGAUGGUGAACUAUGCUUGCGCAGGUCGAAGCCAGAGAAA
RNAcentral lists this ribosomal RNA (944 nucleotides) under Thysanozoon sp. CUR016. RNAcentral's name for it is "partial large subunit ribosomal RNA". It matches the Rfam family "Eukaryotic large subunit ribosomal RNA", at positions 107 to 860 of the family's 3401-position model. The record is from RNAcentral. Lineage: Eukaryota; Metazoa; Platyhelminthes; Polycladida; Pseudocerotidae.